This 73-nucleotide transfer RNA is filed under the name Ovis aries (sheep). It matches the Rfam family "tRNA". Rfam says of the family: Transfer RNA (tRNA) molecules are approximately 80 nucleotides in length. Their secondary structure includes four short double-helical elements and three loops (D, anti-codon, and T loops). Lineage: Eukaryota; Metazoa; Chordata; Mammalia; Artiodactyla; Bovidae. The record is from Rfam by way of RNAcentral.
UCCCUGCUGGCUCAGAUGGUAAAAGCAUCUGCCUGCAAUGUGGGAGACCCGGGUUCGAAUCCUGGGUGGGGAA